RNAcentral lists this ribosomal RNA (434 nucleotides) under uncultured bacterium. Its description in RNAcentral is "bacterial SSU rRNA". It matches the Rfam family "Bacterial small subunit ribosomal RNA", at positions 351 to 782 of the family's 1533-position model. The record is from RNAcentral.
GCAGUGAGGAAUAUUGGACAAUGGGUUAGCGCCUGAUCCAGCCAUCCCGCGUGAAGGACGACGGCCCUAUGGGUUGUAAACUUCUUUUGUACAGGGAUAAACCUACUCUCGUGAGGGUAGCUGAAGGUACUGUACGAAUAAGCACCGGCUAACUCCGUGCCAGCAGCCGCGGUAAUACGGAGGGUGCGAGCGUUAUCCGGAUUUAUUGGGUUUAAAGGGUCCGUAGGCGGACUCGUAAGUCAGUGGUGAAAUCUCACAGCUUAACUGUGAAACUGCCGUUGAUACUGCGGGUCUUGAGUAAGGUAGAAGUGGCUGGAAUAAGUAGUGUAGCGGUGAAAUGCAUAGAUAUUACUUAGAACACCAAUUGCGAAGGCAGGUCACUAUGUCUUAACUGACGCUGAUGGACGAAAGCGUGGGGAGCGAACAGGAUUAGA